RNAcentral lists this transfer RNA (65 nucleotides) under Nierstraszella lineata. RNAcentral's name for it is "tRNA-Met". The record is from RNAcentral. Lineage: Eukaryota; Metazoa; Mollusca; Polyplacophora; Lepidopleurida; Nierstraszellidae.
AGUAAAAUCAGCUAUAUUUAAGCUAUUGGAUUCAUGCUUCAAAAAUGGGGUUAACUCUUUUACUA